UGAUAUUCCAGAGGUCCACGUAAUCGACAGGGUGAUCUACGCGUUCUUCUCAACUGGAUCUGUAAUAGGAGGCUUCGUGGGAUGCUUACUGGAUCACACUAUUCCAGGCACUGAGGAGGAGCGGGGCAUCCUGAAGAUGCGCGAGUGCUUCGACGAGGCCGGCGCACGAGCCAUGCUCGCGCGCGAUCCGCUUCGCCAUUGGCAGUUCUACAGCGUGCCGUGCUUCGAGAAGCUGCUACGGAAGUUUCCCGCGUUGCGCAAGCUGCCCGUGAUGCCCGAACGAGAGCCACACGUCUCGUACGUCGAGGACGAGUGAUGCUAUAAGGGCUGGAGCCCAUUCGUUAAAGACAAAAAGGAAAUAUGCUUAUAAGUUCUUGGUUUA
Long non-coding RNA from Dermacentor andersoni, 382 nucleotides. RefSeq lists it as uncharacterized. Lineage: Eukaryota; Metazoa; Arthropoda; Arachnida; Ixodida; Ixodidae. The record is from RefSeq and is a predicted model, not a curated record.